This 307-nucleotide ribosomal RNA is filed under the name uncultured bacterium. RNAcentral's name for it is "bacterial SSU rRNA". It matches the Rfam family "Bacterial small subunit ribosomal RNA", at positions 28 to 334 of the family's 1533-position model. The record is from RNAcentral.
GACGAACGCUGGCGGCGUGCCUAACGCAUGCAAGUCGAACGGAAGUAAGUGCUUCGGUAUUUACUUUAGUGGCGAACGGGUGAGUAACGCGUGAGGAACCUGCCUUUCAGUGGGGGACAACAGUUGGAAAUGACUGCUAAUACCGCAUAAGCGCACAGUGCCGCAUGGCGCCGUGUGAAAAACUCCGGUGGUAUGAGAUGGACCCGCGUCUGAUUAGCUGGUUGGUGGGGUAACGGCCCACCAAGGCGACGAUCAGUAGCCGACCUGAGAGGGCGACCGGCCACAUUGGGACUGAGACACGGCCCAA